This 250-nucleotide ribosomal RNA is filed under the name uncultured bacterium. Its description in RNAcentral is "partial 16S ribosomal RNA". It matches the Rfam family "Bacterial small subunit ribosomal RNA", at positions 28 to 261 of the family's 1533-position model. The record is from RNAcentral.
GAUUAACGCUGGCGGCGUGCAUAACACAUGCAAGUCGAACGAUGAAACUCUAAAGAUUUCUUCGGAAUGAAUUAGAAUGGAUUAGUGGCGAACGGGUGAGUAACACGUGAGUAACCUGCCUUAGAGAAGGGGAUAGCCUUUGGAAACGAAGAAUAAUACCCUAUGACAUGAUAAUAUCGCAUGAAGUUAUCAUCAAAGAAUUAUCGCUCUAAGAUGGACUUGCGUCUGAUUAGCUAGUUGGUGGAGUAAC